CCUACGGGAGGCAGCAGUGAGGAAUAUUGGUCAAUGGCCGGAAGGCUGAACCAGCCAUGCCGCGUGAAGGUCAGUGCCCUAUGGGCGUUAAACUUCUUUUGUGCGGGAGCAAUAAUGGUCACGUGUGGCCAGACGAGAGUACCGUACGAAUAAGCAUCGGCUAACUCCGUGCCAGCAGCCGGUGUAAUACGGGGGGUGCCAGCGUUAUACGGAUUUAUUGGGUUUAAAGGGUGCGUAGGCUGGUAGGUAAGUCAGCGGUGAAAUGCCCCCGCUCAACGGGGUGAAGUGCCAUUGAUACUGCCGUGCUUGAAUGCGUAUGCAGCGGGAGGAAUGUGUGGUGUAGCGGUGAAAUGCAUAGAUAUCACACAGAACACCGAUUGCGAAGGCAUCUCACGAAUCCGCGAUUGACGCUGAUGCACGAAAGCGUGGGUAUCAAACAGGAUUAGAUACCCUGGUAGUC
This 460-nucleotide ribosomal RNA is filed under the name uncultured bacterium. RNAcentral describes it as "partial 16S ribosomal RNA". It matches the Rfam family "Bacterial small subunit ribosomal RNA", at positions 338 to 795 of the family's 1533-position model. The record is from RNAcentral.